Molecule: unclassified non-coding RNA, 369 nt
Filed under: Hevea brasiliensis (rubber tree)
Lineage: Eukaryota; Viridiplantae; Streptophyta; Magnoliopsida; Malpighiales; Euphorbiaceae
Source: RNAcentral
AAAAAAAAUAGCCCGACGGUGGGAAUCGUAACCCUAAUCGGCCGAUGUCAACAUCCGGGCAACAGCAGUUCCGGUACACGCAGACACCGUCGAAAGUUCUUCACCUCCGGAAUCUUCCAUGGGAUUGCAGCGAUGAAGAGCUAGUAGAGCUUUGCAAGCCCUUUGGUAAAAUUGUCAAUACAAAGUGUAACGUCGGGGCCAAUCGCAACCAAGCGUUUGUCGAAUUUGCUGACCUUAAUCAGGCAAUCAAUAUGGUUUCAUAUUAUGCUUCAUCUUCAGAGCCUGCUCAAGUUCGUGGCAAGACGGUGUACAUUCAAUAUUCUAAUAGGAAUGAAAUUGUCAAUAAUAAGAGUCCGGGAGAUGUUCCAG